AAAAAUCGGGCUGGGCCGGGCCGGGCCGGGCUUAUUAUUUUUUCCCGGGCUAGGCCUAGGCAAAAUUUUAGGCCCAUAUUUUGGGCCGGGCCGGGCCCGGGCCAAAAUUUUUUCCGAGCCCGGCCCGAACCCAGCCCGGCCCAUGGACAGGUCUACUCUAGAUUCCCUCUCGAAUUAGUGUUUAGGGGAAUGAUAACGUCAAGAAGUGAAGGCUUUCCGAAAAUCCUACAGUUAAAGAGGGGGUAGUUUCAUUACAAUUAGUAAAUAAUACUUAGUUUUGUUAUGAAAUAUGAUGCAACACAAAACAAUCUUACAAGUUGCUAUUUCCAUAAUGGAAAUUGUCCCUCAAUCGAGGCUUAUUGAACAAUCUCUAAUGACUGAUUUUGUUGCUAAAUGGUUGGCAAAUAUCUAUCAUGGUUGGCAAAUAUCUAUCAUUACAUUAUCGAUAUUCCAAAUCUUAUUACAUGGACUUUAAGGGAUACAUGUGGUUGUUUUUUUCCUUUUAGUCAUAAAAAAAGGAAUCAUUUCGCUUGAUUUACCUAAAAUUAAAUGAUGUUUCAUUAGAGUAGAAAAAGGAGUUCGUGGAAGAGGUGAAUACAGUGUGCUUGAUUGAAUCCUACCUUGCUAAAGCCCCAAACACGUUCAUAACUCCUUCCACUAUGGUUAAUGUGUCAGAUUCUGCUUACUAUGCCCCAUGAAAAUGGAAGGUAUGAAGUAUAAUUAUAGAAUGAGUUUUAGUUUUUAUAAUCAUAUUAUAUUUUAUUCACAUGUGAUAAUAUAUAAUUAUAUAUUAUAGGUUUUGGUCUCUUCAACAAAUGCGUCAAUCAUGUAUCUAAUAAAAACCUGAUCAAGAAGUCGUGUUCAAUAAUGAAUUUUUCUUUACCAUCUCGUUUGUGGUAUGUGAUAUAAUACGAUUGGCGAAAUAAUAAUUCCCUGUUAUUUGAAAACAAUAAAUUGUAGUUGCUUUUGGUUAUUUCAUUUGGACUAGUCAUAUGUGUUUUUUUGUAAUUGAAUUGGAAUGACAUGUAUGCUGUUAUGUAAUUGGCUUAGAUAAUUUGUAAUUGAACUUUGUAAUUUUUAUUUGCGGUUUAAUUAUUUAUUUACCUACCAUUAUCAACUAACAUCAAUCCCUAUCAUCAUGUUGCUUUUCUAUUAACUUGUUUUUGUAGAUGCCUCUACCACCAGUCAAGAUUCCACAUGAACUUGGCAAAGUAGAAACCUCCAUUUCCGAGUACAUUUGCGAUAAUGAUGUUAAUUAUAUAGAGUAAGCACUUGUUAAAUAUUCUUUAUCAUUAAUCAUAUACAUGCAUUGUAUGAAUCUAAAGUCUGUACUUGUAAAGUUGUAGUGAAACAAUAUUAAUGUCGGGAAUGUUUCGGCUUGUAUUUAGGAGUUCUAUGCAAUACAACCUAGGGUGUAGAUUGGUGACAACAUAACUUUGGUUUUUAUUACUUCAAUGUUAAUUUUUUUUAAUAUUAUUC
Molecule: long non-coding RNA, 1479 nt
Filed under: Gossypium raimondii (Peruvian cotton)
Lineage: Eukaryota; Viridiplantae; Streptophyta; Magnoliopsida; Malvales; Malvaceae
Description: long non-coding RNA (GRAI_LNC008406)
Source: RNAcentral